This 253-nucleotide ribosomal RNA is filed under the name uncultured bacterium. RNAcentral describes it as "partial 16S ribosomal RNA". It matches the Rfam family "Bacterial small subunit ribosomal RNA", at positions 524 to 776 of the family's 1533-position model. The record is from RNAcentral.
UACGGAGGGGGCAAGCGUUGUUCGGAUUUACUGGGCGUAAAGGGUGUGUAGGCGGCUGGAUAAGUCUGGCGUGAAAUCUUCACCGCUUAACGGGAAGGGGUCGCUGGAAACUGUUCAGCUUGAGUAUGGUAGAGGCAAGCGGAAUUCCUGUGUAGCGGUGGAAUGUGUAGAUAUCAGGAAGAACACCGGUGGCGAAGGCGGCGCACUGGACCACAACUGACGCUGAGGCGCGAAAGCUAGGGGAGCAAACAGG